UGGGGAAUAUUGCACAAUGGGGGAAACCCUGAUGCAGCAACGCCGCGUGAGUGAAGAAGUAUUUCGGUAUGUAAAGCUCUAUCAGCAGGAAAGAAAAUGACGGUACCUGACUAAGAAGCCCCGGCUAACUACGUGCCAGCAGCCGCGGUAAUACGUAGGGGGCAAGCGUUAUCCGGAUUUACUGGGUGUAAAGGGAGCGUAGACGGUUUUGCAAGUCUGAAGUGAAAGCCCGGGGCUUAACCCCGGGACUGCUUUGGAAACUGUAGGACUAGAGUGCAGGAGAGGUAAGUGGAAUUCCUAGUGUAGCGGUGAAAUGCGUAGAUAUUAGGAGGAACACCAGUGGCGAAGGCGGCUUACUGGACUGUAACUGACGUUGAGGCU
This 381-nucleotide ribosomal RNA is filed under the name uncultured Clostridium sp. RNAcentral describes it as "bacterial SSU rRNA". It matches the Rfam family "Bacterial small subunit ribosomal RNA", at positions 355 to 753 of the family's 1533-position model. The record is from RNAcentral. Lineage: Bacteria; Bacillati; Bacillota; Clostridia; Eubacteriales; Clostridiaceae.